AGUGAAGCGGGAUGAGCUCAAAUUUAAAAUCUGGCUGGUUUACUAGUCCGAAUUGUAGUUUAAAGAAGCGUUUUCGGUGGCAGCCUGGGUAUAAAUCCUUUGGAACAGGGUAUCAUAGAGGGUGAGAAUCCCGUCUUUGACUCAGUGCAUGCUACUAUGUGAUACGUUUUCAAAGAGUCGAGUUGUUUGGGAAUGCAGCUCAAAAUGGGUGGUAAAUUUCAUCUAAAGCUAAAUAUUGGCGAGAGACCGAUAGCGAACAAGUACCGUGAGGGAAAGAUGAAAAGAACUUUGAAAAGAGAGUUAAACAGUGCGUGAAAUUGUUGAAAGGGAAACGCUUGACACCAGUCAUGCGAGCGGAAAAUCAGUCUUUUGCAGUGGGGAGUGUGUGUGGGUUCGGACCGCAAGGCCGGCCUGCGCUUCAUCUCUGCUGUAAGUGAUGCACUUUUUCGUUUGCAGGCCAACAUCAGUUUCUUCUGCUGGACAAAACUCUUGAGAAGGUAGCAGCUUAGGCUGUGUUAUAGCUCUUGAGCGAUACAGUGGAGGAGACUGAGGUUUUCGCAGCGCGUGCUUUCGGGCAAGGCUGAUUGGGUGCUAUGGGAUCGUUCGGUGUACAAUGCAUGCAUUUUGCGCCGUGUCUUUUCUAUACUCGCUCAACUCGGCUCUCCGCGC
This 669-nucleotide ribosomal RNA is filed under the name Mortierella alpina. Its description in RNAcentral is "eukaryotic LSU rRNA". It matches the Rfam family "Eukaryotic large subunit ribosomal RNA", at positions 92 to 606 of the family's 3401-position model. Lineage: Eukaryota; Fungi; Mortierellomycota; Mortierellomycetes; Mortierellales; Mortierellaceae. The record is from RNAcentral.